Molecule: ribosomal RNA, 212 nt
Rfam family: Bacterial large subunit ribosomal RNA
GCCCGGUAGCUAAGUGCGGAAAAGAUAAGCGCUGAAAGCAUCUAAGCGCGAAACUUGCCUCAAGAUGAGUCUUCCCUGGGCCUUUAAGGCCCCUGAAGGAACGUUUAAGACUAAGACGUUGAUAGGCUGGGUGUGUAAGUGCAGCGAUGCAUUGAGCUAACCAGUACUAAUGAUCCGUGAGGCUUAACCUUACAACACCGAAGGUGUUUUAG